Molecule: ribosomal RNA, 460 nt
Filed under: uncultured bacterium
Lineage: Bacteria
Description: partial 16S ribosomal RNA
Rfam family: Bacterial small subunit ribosomal RNA
Source: RNAcentral
CCUACGGGAGGCAGCAGUGAGGAAUAUUGGUCAAUGGACGAGAGUCUGAACCAGCCAAGUAGCGUGAAGGAUGACUGCCCUAUGGGUUGUAAACUUCUUUUAUAUGGGAAUAAAAUGUUCCACGUGUGGGAUUUUGUAUGUACCAUAUGAAUAAGGAUCGGCUAACUCCGUGCCAGCAGCCGCGGUGAUACGGAGGAUCCGAGCGUUAUCCGGAUUUAUUGGGUUUAAAGGGAGCGUAGGUGGAUUGUUAAGUCAGUUGUGAAAGUUUGCGGCUCAACCGUAAAAUUGCAGUUGAAACUGGCAGUCUUGAGUACAGUAGAGGUGGGCGGAAUUCGUGGUGUAGCGGUGAAAUGCUUAGAUAUCACGAAGAACUCCGAUUGCGAAGGCAGUUCACUGGACUGCAACUGACACUGAGGCUCGAAAGUGUGGGUAUCAAACAGGAUUAGAUACCCCUGUAGUC